GACGAACGCUGGCGGCGUGCUUAACACAUGCAAGUCGAACGAAGAGCGAUGGAAGCUUGCUUCUAUCAAUCUUAGUGGCGAACGGGUGAGUAACGCGUAAUCAACCUGCCCUUCAGAUGGGGACAACAGUUGGAAACGACUGCUAAUACCGCAUACGAUCUAAUCUCGGCAUCGAGGAUAGAUGAAAGGUGGCCUCUACAUGUAAGCUAUCACUGAAGGAGGGGAUUGCGUCUGAUUAGCUAGUGGGAGGGGUAACGGCCCACCAAGGCGAUGAUCAGUAGCCGGUCUGAGAGGAUGAACGGCCACAUUGGGACUGAGACACGGCCCAGACUCCUACGGGAGGCAGCAGUGGGGAAUCUUCCGCAAUGGACGAAAGUCUGACGGAGCAACGCCGCGUGAGCGAUGACGGCCUUCGGGUUGUAAAGCUCUGUUAAUCGGGACGAAAGGCCUUCUUGCGAAUAGUGAGAAGGAUUGACGGUACCGGAAUAGAAAGCCACGGCUAACUACGUG
Molecule: ribosomal RNA, 510 nt
Filed under: uncultured bacterium
Lineage: Bacteria
Description: partial 16S ribosomal RNA
Rfam family: Bacterial small subunit ribosomal RNA
Source: RNAcentral